CUAGAACGAGCAUAGAGAACAUACCUGAAGUAGCAAAUAGAUGAGGGUAUCAGUUGCGCAUAUGUGACGACCCGGCCGGUCGUCUUUGGAAUUUAUGUUCCGUUUCCCCAUUAACUACUUCCUCUAAGAUUAUUUCUGCUAUUUUGGUUUGUCGGGAUGUUCGGUAAAAGAAUUCAGAGUGUUUUGGGACACUUAGUCCCUAAAUGAGAGCAUAAAUGUUGGAAAAUGGUCCGUAAUCAGGACAGUGUCAAGAUGACCUCGGAAUGGAAAACCGAUGGUUCCUUAGCUCCAUUAGGUGAUUUUGGGGUUGAGUCGGAAUGCAUUUUGGAUGUCCGUAGCUCAUUUAGGCUAUAAAU
This 356-nucleotide long non-coding RNA is filed under the name Nicotiana benthamiana. RNAcentral describes it as "long non-coding RNA (NBEN_LNC017806)". Lineage: Eukaryota; Viridiplantae; Streptophyta; Magnoliopsida; Solanales; Solanaceae. The record is from RNAcentral.